CCUACGGGUGGCAGCAGUCGAGAAUCAUUCACAAUGGGGGAAACCCUGAUGCUGCGACGCCGCGUGGGGGAAUGAAGGUCUUCGGAUUGUAAACCCCUGUCAUGUGGGAGCAAAUUAAAAAGAUAGUACCACAAGAGGAAGCGACGGCUAACUCUGUGCCAGCAGCCGCGGUAAUACAGCGGUCUCAAGCGUUGUUCGGAAUCACUGGGCGUAAAGCGUGCGUAGUCUGUUUCGUAAGUUGAGUGUGAAAGGCUGGGGCUCAACCCGCGGACGGCACAUGAUACUGAGAGACGAGAGUAAAGGAGGGGGAACCGGAAUGCUCGGUGUAGCAGUGAAAUGCGUAGAUAUCGAGAGGAACACUCAUGGCGAAGGCGGGUUCCUAGACAUUAACUGACGCUGAGGCACGAAGGCCAGGGGAGCGAAAGGGAUUAGAUACCCGAGUAGUC
RNAcentral lists this ribosomal RNA (446 nucleotides) under uncultured bacterium. RNAcentral describes it as "partial 16S ribosomal RNA". It matches the Rfam family "Bacterial small subunit ribosomal RNA", at positions 338 to 795 of the family's 1533-position model. The record is from RNAcentral.